This 581-nucleotide long non-coding RNA is filed under the name Vitis vinifera (wine grape). RNAcentral's name for it is "long non-coding RNA (VVIN_LNC004094)". Lineage: Eukaryota; Viridiplantae; Streptophyta; Magnoliopsida; Vitales; Vitaceae. The record is from RNAcentral.
UACAUUUAAGAUUCAAGGUGGGAAAAAGCAGAUUUUAUUUUAUUUUUUUAAUUUUGGGUUCUCCAUUUCAACAAAAACUUUGGAGCCAUGCAAAGCAUAUAAACAAACUUUAAACAAUCUAACGCGACUUUUUGGGUGCGGAGGCAAUGUAUCCGGGCUUUGCUUCCUGCCCUCAUACACCUUAUCCGAUAUCUUUGCGGCCCCCCGUGUUUACACCAUGCGGUUGAGGUUUGUGGAAGCAAAUAUCAAUCGAAUGGUAUCGCUUUCGUAUUGGAUCGGAAUCAAUCUAAUAACGGGACUUGGAGGUGUUAAGCUUCUUAUCAUCCCGAUAUCGAGCUAUUUUUCGGCAGGACCGUAGAGUUUUAACCACCAAGAUAUGGAUGAAUUGAUGUGUGUAUUAUUACUUUGUAUAUUACUUAUGUUUUACAAGUUUUAAUCUUGAAUAUAUUUGUUUUGUACUCGAUGUUUAGAAGUACUUUGAUUUUAUGUAUGCUUUCAUCGUGGAAUAUGACUCGGUGCCUUUUGGACAUACUUCUUAUUUUCUAUUUUUAAAAUAAAAAAGUAGUAAUAAUUGUUGUAUA